RNAcentral lists this ribosomal RNA (266 nucleotides) under uncultured bacterium. RNAcentral describes it as "partial 16S ribosomal RNA". It matches the Rfam family "Bacterial small subunit ribosomal RNA", at positions 92 to 354 of the family's 1533-position model. The record is from RNAcentral.
CGACCGGCGCACGGGUGAGUAACACGUAUGCAACCUGGCCGUGACAGAUGGAUAACCGGGAGAAAUCCCGCCUAAUACAACAUAAUGCCGGGAGGGGACAUCCCCUGCCGGUCAAAGGGGGCGACCCCGGUCAUGGAUGGGCAUGCGGCGCAUUAGGUAGUUGGUGGGGCAACGGCCCACCAAGCCGACGAUGCGUAGGGGUUCUGAGAGGAAGGUCCCCCACAUUGGUACUGAGACACGGACCAGACUCCUACGGAAGGCAGCAG